AUUGCUUACCGCAUUUUAAUUUAUUUAUAUCCCGAAGCGCAAGCCAGAGUACUCUAAUUUGCCGCUAGACGGUGCUAGUGUUUGUUUAUAUACUCUUAUCUUGUACACAACUACCACAACUACAGACUACACAGACAGAUGUAACUUCACAACAAACUUUAAGAGCUUAGUCGUUAUUAGUUGAUCAAUUUAUACAGUAAAACAAAAAAGUGCGUUCCAUUAAACACGCAUCGAAAAUUAAAUAGCAUUAAAAAAAAUUAAUGUUUAUGAUUAGUAAAAAAUGUGGACUUGCAUUGCUAUUUCCUCAGCAUCUGCACAAACAGUUCGUUGGCGCGUCACUCUCUACUUCCAGGAUUGGUACAUGGGUCUCAAACUCCUGCUCAAACUCCUCUCCAAACUGUUGCUCGCUGCCACAAGUGCCUCCCUCCAAAAGUUCCUCAGAAUCUGCACAAGCGCCUUCCUCCAGGAGUUCCUCAGGAUCUGCACAAACAGAUGGAUUGACGUUUUGAGCAUCCACUUCCAGGAUUGCUACAUGAUAAUUAGGUAAAAUGUCAUCCGAGAAAUAUUGGGUUCCAUAAGCCAAACGUUCAUUAUCUAAUUAAGGUUAAUAAUUUAAUUUAAUAGAAGGUAAAAUGUUUUAAUAAUUCGUGUAAAGUUAACUUACCGAAACAGAACGGUCCAAGUUCAUGGUGGAUACUAUCACAACUGAAAAACAUUGCCUUUUUUAGAAUGAUUUUACAUAUAAUGUUCAGUAAUCAAAUCACUUACAGGUGACACCAAUAUUCUCCCUUUUCAAGAUAUACAUACUCCUGAUCCAUGAUAAGUUAAAGAAAAAACUGCUGGGCGAUCCAGAACUCAUCAAGGUGAAGAAAGGUGACCUAAUUCAGCUCAAGAGACAUGGUUUUUCUUUUGGGUAAAGGUUCGAGAUUUGAAAGCAAACAAGGCAGAAAAGACUCAAAUUGACACUGCUGUCAAGGAGUUAUUUGCAUUGAAAAGCAAGUUUAAGUUGGGAACCGUCAUGGAGUGGAAGGCAGAUAGUGCAAUCCCAAGUCAAGUGGAGAAACAAGACAAAGAUUCAACAAGGAAGGAUGUGGAGAUGAAGUGAUUUAUUUUAAAGUAAAGAAAGGAACAUG
Daphnia pulicaria is the source of this 1133-nucleotide RNA transcript. RefSeq lists it as uncharacterized. The transcript is spliced from 5 exons. The record is from RefSeq and is a predicted model, not a curated record. NCBI's taxonomy places the organism in Eukaryota, Metazoa, Arthropoda, Branchiopoda, Diplostraca, Daphniidae.